UACGAAGGGGGCUAGCGUUGUUCGGAAUUACUGGGCGUAAAGCGCGCGUAGGCGGUGAUCUUUGUCAGAGGUGAAAGCCCGGGGCUCAACUCCGGAACUGCCUUUGAUACUGUCGAUCUGGAGUAUGGAAGAGGUGAGUGGAAUUCCGAGUGUAGAGGUGAAAUUCGUAGAUAUUCGGAGGAACACCAGUGGCGAAGGCGGCUCACUGGUCCAUUACUGACGCUGAGGUGCGAAAGCGUGGGGAGCAAACAGG
This 253-nucleotide ribosomal RNA is filed under the name uncultured bacterium. RNAcentral describes it as "partial 16S ribosomal RNA". It matches the Rfam family "Bacterial small subunit ribosomal RNA", at positions 524 to 776 of the family's 1533-position model. The record is from RNAcentral.